This is a non-coding RNA of Maylandia zebra (zebra mbuna), 162 nucleotides long. NCBI's taxonomy places the organism in Eukaryota, Metazoa, Chordata, Actinopteri, Cichliformes, Cichlidae. The record is from RefSeq and is a predicted model, not a curated record.
CACAUGUUAUGUUCUUACACCCUUACAGAAACUGUGACUCCUUCACAAUGUCAGAUUACCUUGUGGGAGUAGCUGGACCAAACUCUAUUGGUAUUUCAAGUUUGAAAUCCCUGUUUGACCAGACUAACAUUUCAGAUGAGGUAAUAGAUGGCCUAAUCUAUU